Molecule: ribosomal RNA, 468 nt
Filed under: uncultured bacterium
Lineage: Bacteria
Description: partial 16S ribosomal RNA
Rfam family: Bacterial small subunit ribosomal RNA
Source: RNAcentral
GACGAACGCUGGCGGCGUGCUUAACACAUGCAAGUCGAACGGAAAGGCCCUGCUUUUGUGGGGUGCUCGAGUGGCGAACGGGUGAGUAACACGUGAGUAAACUGCCCUUGACUUUGGGAUAACUUCAGGAAACUGGGGCUAAUACAGGAUAGGAGCUCCUGCUGCAUGGUGGGGGUUGGAAAGUUGCGGCGGUUGGGGCUGGACUCGCGGCUUAUCAGCUUGUUGGUGGGGUAGUGGCUUACCAAGGCUUUGACGGGUAGCCGGCCUGAGAGGGUGAACGGCCACAUUGGGACUGAGAUACGGACCAGACGCCUACGUGAGGCAGCAGUGGAGAAUAUUGCACAACAGGCGGAAGCCUGAGGCAGCAACGCCGCGUGCGGGAUGACGGCCUUCGGGUUGUAAACCGCUUUCGCCUGUGACGAAGCGUGAGUGACGGUAAUUGGUAAAGAAGCACCGGCUAACUACGUG